This 253-nucleotide ribosomal RNA is filed under the name uncultured bacterium. Its description in RNAcentral is "partial 16S ribosomal RNA". It matches the Rfam family "Bacterial small subunit ribosomal RNA", at positions 524 to 776 of the family's 1533-position model. The record is from RNAcentral.
UACGUAGGGGGCGAGCGUUGUCCGGAUUUAUUGGGCGUAAAGAGCGUGUAGGCGGCCAGGUAGGUCUGCUGUGAAAACUCGAGGCUCAACCUCGAGACGUCGGCGGAAACCAUCUGGCUAGAGUCCGGAAGAGGAGAAUGGAAUUCCCGGUGUAGCGGUGAAAUGCGCAGAUAUCGGGAAGAACACCCGUGGCGAAGGCGGUUCUCUGGGACGGUACUGACGCUGAGACGCGAAAGCGUGGGGAGCAAACAGG